GGGGGGUCGACCAUGGAAGCCAUUUUCUUGGUACGACAACUUAUGGAGAGAUAUAGGGAGCAAAAGAAGGACUUGCAUAUGGUGUUCAUUGACUUGGAGAAGGUCUAUGAUAAGAUACCGCGGAAUGUCAUGUGGUGGGCCUUGGAGAAACACAAAGUCCCAGCAAAGUACAUUAACCUCAUCAAGGACAUGUACGAUAAUGUUGUGACCAGUGUUCGAACAAGUGAUGUCGACACCGAUGACUUCCCGAUUAAGAUAGGACUACAUCAUGGGUCAGCUUUGAGCCCUUAUCUUUUUGCAUUGGUG
This 306-nucleotide ribosomal RNA is filed under the name Triticum aestivum (bread wheat). RNAcentral describes it as "partial small subunit ribosomal RNA". Lineage: Eukaryota; Viridiplantae; Streptophyta; Magnoliopsida; Poales; Poaceae. The record is from RNAcentral.